Molecule: RNA transcript, 3633 nt
Organism: Hevea brasiliensis (rubber tree)
Lineage: Eukaryota; Viridiplantae; Streptophyta; Magnoliopsida; Malpighiales; Euphorbiaceae
Gene name: calcium-transporting ATPase 3, endoplasmic reticulum-type
Exons: 34
Source: RefSeq, a predicted model, not a curated record
UUGAGCUUAACGUUUCUCUCUGUUCCCAGAGCGAAACCGAAGCGCCACGUCCGCAAAUUAGAUCUAACAAAAACCAGUGCCGACGAUUGCUGUGGUCACUACAAACCAAAUGGAAAGUCGCCGCUAUUAAAAUCGUACAUUCAGUUAUUCACAAAACCUUACAAUUUCUUCAUUUCUGCAAUGGAGGACGCCUACGCCAGAUCAGUUGCCGAGGUUUUGGAUUUUUUUGGGGUGGACCCGAAUAAGGGUCUCAGUGAUUCUCAGGUAGUUCUUAAUGCAAAAAUUCAUGGUAAAAAUGUGCUGCCUGAAGAGAAAAGGACUCCCUUCUGGAAAUUGGUUCUGAAACAGUUUGAUGAUUUGCUUGUUAAGAUAUUAAUAGCUGCUGCCAUUGUUUCUUUCAUUUUAGCUUUGGUUAAUGGAGAGACUGGAUUAACAGCUUUUUUGGAGCCCUUUGUUAUCCUGUUGAUUUUAGCUGCCAAUGCUGCUGUAGGGGUAAUCACAGAAACAAAUGCUGAGAGGGCUCUUGAAGAGCUGCGUGCCUACCAAGCUGAUAUUGCAACUGUGCUUCGAAAUGGUUGCUUUUCCAUACUUCCAGCAACAGAUCUUGUUCCAGGUGAUAUUGUGGAAGUCUGUGUGGGAAGCAAGGUUCCAGCUGACAUGAGAAUGAUUGAGAUGCUAAGCGAUCAGUUACGCGUUGAUCAAGCAAUACUUACUGGUGAGAGCUUUUCUGUGGAAAAGGAACUCAAGUCCACAACUGCAAUAAAUGCUGUAUACCAAGACAAGACAAAUAUUCUUUUUUCGGGUACUGUAGUGGUUGCUGGUCGGGCAAGAGCUGUUGUUGUUGGAGUUGGUGCCAACACUGCUAUGGGCAGCAUACGUGAUUCUAUGCUGCAAACAGAUGAUGAAGCAACACCAUUGAAGAAGAAGUUGGAUGAAUUUGGUACUUUUUUGGCUAAGGUUAUUGCGGGGAUUUGUGUGCUGGUAUGGAUUGUGAACAUAGGCCACUUUCAUGAUCCUUCCCAUGGUGGCUUCUUGCGUGGUGCAAUCCACUAUUUCAAGAUUGCAGUUGCUCUUGCAGUUGCAGCAAUUCCUGAAGGGCUUCCUGCUGUUGUUACAACGUGUUUGGCCCUUGGAACAAAGCGCAUGGCUCGUUUGAAUGCCAUUGUACGAUCUUUGCCAUCAGUAGAGACUCUAGGCUGCACAACAGUGAUUUGCAGUGACAAGACUGGAACAUUGACAACUAAUAUGAUGUCCGUAUCGAAGAUAUGUGUUGUUCACUCUUUUCACCAUCAUCCUAUGAUUGCUGAAUACAAUGUCAGUGGGACAACAUAUGCUCCUGAGGGCAUAAUUUUUGAUAGCAGUGGGAUACAGCUUGAAUUUCCAGCUCAGUUGCCUUGUCUGCUUCACGUGGCAAUGUGUUCAGCUCUUUGCAAUGAGUCUGUCUUACAGUAUAAUCCAGAAAAAGGAAAUUAUGAAAAAAUUGGGGAGUCAACUGAAGUAGCAUUGCGUGCUCUUGCAGAGAAGGUUGGCAUUCCUGGUUUUGAUUCUAUGCCUUCUGCACUGCAUGUGCUGAGCAAGCAUGAGCGUGCCUCUUACUGCAACCACUAUUGGGAAAACCAAUUCAAAAAGGUUUCCAUAUUGGAAUUCUCUCGUGAUAGGAAAAUGAUGAGUGUCUUAUGUAGUCGAAAGCAGACUGAGAUUAUGUUUUCAAAAGGCGCUCCAGAGAGUAUCAUCUCUAGAUGUUCUAACAUCCUUUGCAAUGACGAUGGUUCCACUGUUCCUCUGUCUGCUGCUAUCAGAGAUGAGAUAGAGUCAAGAUUCCACAGUUUUGCAGGGAAAGAAACAUUAAGAUGUCUGGCUUUAGCCAUGAAACAGAUGCCCAUGGGCCUACAGAGCCUUUCCUUUGACGAUGAGAAGGACCUUACAUUUAUUGGGUUGGUUGGAAUGCUUGAUCCACCAAGAGAGGAAGUGAGAAAUGCUAUGCUUUCAUGCAUGACUGCUGGUAUACGUGUAAUAGUUGUUACUGGGGACAAUAAGUCAACAGCUGAAUCACUUUGUCGAAAGAUUGGUGCUUUUGAUCAUUUGGAAGAUUUUGUGGGAUGCUCAUAUACAGCCUCUGAAUUUGAAGAACUCCCAGCAUUGCAGCAAACACUGGCUUUGCAACGUAUGGCACUGUUUACCAGGGUUGAACCUGCUCAUAAAAGGAUGCUAGUGGAGGCCUUACAGAACCAAAAUGAAGUGGUGGCAAUGACUGGUGAUGGUGUUAAUGAUGCACCAGCCCUAAAGAAAGCAGAUAUAGGAAUUGCCAUGGGGUCUGGAACAGCAGUUGCAAAGAGUGCUUCUGAUAUGGUUUUGGCUGAUGAUAAUUUUGCUUCUAUUGUUGCGGCUGUUGCGGAGGGAAGGGCUAUAUACAAUAACACAAAGCAAUUCAUCAGAUAUAUGAUCUCUUCAAAUAUUGGUGAAGUUGUUUGUAUUUUUGUUGCAGCUGUACUUGGAAUACCUGAUACCUUGGCUCCUGUCCAGUUGCUCUGGGUUAAUUUGGUUACCGAUGGAUUGCCUGCCACUGCAAUUGGUUUUAACAAGCAAGAUUCAGAUGUGAUGAAGGCUAAACCUCGCAAGGUGAAUGAAGCAGUUGUUAAUGGGUGGUUGUUUUUUCGCUAUUUGGUAAUUGGAGCCUAUGUUGGCCUUGCAACAGUUGCAGGUUUCGUGUGGUGGUUUGUAUACUCUGACAGUGGUCCCAAACUACCAUACAAUGAAUUGAUGAAUUUUGACUCUUGCUCAACAAGGGAGACUACUUAUCCAUGCAGUAUAUUUGAGGAUAAACAUCCAUCAACAGUCUCCAUGACUGUGCUUGUCGUUGUUGAGAUGUUUAAUGCUUUGAACAAUCUCAGCGAAAAUCAAUCACUUUUUGUUAUCCCUCCCUGGAGUAAUUUAUGGCUUGUUGGUUCCAUCAUCCUGACUAUGAUGUUUCACAUGCUAAUUUUGUAUGUGCAUCCCCUUUCUGUUCUUUUCUCUGUAACACCGUUAUCUUGGGCUGAGUGGACUGUUGUUCUAUAUCUUUCAUUCCCUGUAUGAAGUGAUCUUCACCUUCCCAGUUUACUAAUUUUCCACUAAUUUGGAUAUUUUGCUGUCAACCAUUAUAUGAUUCAGUUAUUUUAUUUGGCGCAAUAUCUUUCUUCAAGAAUUUAGUUGGAAAAAUAUUUACCUUAUUACUCGUGCUCCACUUGAGUGGUUUCCACUCCAUUCUAAUCUGGUAAAAACAAUGAUUAUUGAUUCAUAUUCUCAUGAUGCACUGCAUAUUAUCAGUCUUCAGGUUUUUUUCUUAUCCUUUUGAACCUUCCCUGCUUUUCUUGGCUUCUUAAUAGUUGACAUGAGCUUUGGGCAGUUUUGGACUGGGAUUUUCUCCAUCCAAUGCAGCCUCAUGGCAGUCCUUAGUUCUGAUAUUUUUGGUUCUUUUUUGGAUAUAUGGGAAAGGUGCCUUUUAUGAUGCUUUUACCCCUUCCUGAAUGUUCUGCCGGUUAUAAUUAUUGAUGAAAUCCUGAAGUUCUUCUCAAGAAAUUCCAAUGGCAUAAGGUUGAGAUUCAGAUUCAGAAGGCCUGAUUUACUUCCAAAGAGGGAAUUGCGGGACAAGUA